GAUCUCACAUGCCACGGAGCAACUAAGCCUGUGUGCCACAACUAUUGAGCCUGAGCUCUAGAGCCCAUGAGCCACAACUACUGAACCUGCGAGCCACAACUACUAAGCCCGCAUGCCACAACUACUGAAGCCUGCACACCUAGAGCCCGUGCUCUGCAACAAGAGAAGCCACCACAACGGGAAGCCCGCACACCGCAAUGAAGAGUAGCCCCCACUUGCCGCAACUAGAGAAAGCCCGUGUGCAGUAACGAAGACCCAAUGCAGCCAAAAAUAAAAAUUAAUUAAUAAAAAAAAAAAACCUAUC
Molecule: long non-coding RNA, 304 nt
Organism: Orcinus orca (killer whale)
Lineage: Eukaryota; Metazoa; Chordata; Mammalia; Artiodactyla; Delphinidae
Exons: 2
Source: RefSeq, a predicted model, not a curated record